ACUCACUUCGGCAGAACAGAUACUAAAAUUGUAACAAUACAGAGAAGAUUAACAUGGCCCUUUUGCAAGAAUGACAUGCAAAUUUGUGAAGAGAACACCACUAUU
Dromiciops gliroides (monito del monte) is the source of this 105-nucleotide small nuclear RNA. NCBI's taxonomy places the organism in Eukaryota, Metazoa, Chordata, Mammalia, Microbiotheria, Microbiotheriidae. The record is from RefSeq and is a predicted model, not a curated record.